Small nuclear RNA from Suricata suricatta (meerkat), 103 nucleotides. NCBI's taxonomy places the organism in Eukaryota, Metazoa, Chordata, Mammalia, Carnivora, Herpestidae. The record is from Ensembl.
GUGCUUGUUUAGGUAGGAUAUAUACCAGUAUUAGAACUAUACAGAGACUAGCAUGAUCCCUGCCAAGGAUGACAUACAGAUUUGUGAAGCAUUCCCUGCUUUU